Camelus dromedarius (Arabian camel) is the source of this 97-nucleotide small nuclear RNA. The record is from Ensembl. Lineage: Eukaryota; Metazoa; Chordata; Mammalia; Artiodactyla; Camelidae.
GUGCUCGCUUCAGCAGCACAUAUACUAAAAUUGGAACGAUACAGAUUGGCCCCUGCGCCAGGAUGACACGCAAAUUCGUGAAGCGUUCCAUAUUAAA